GGAAACAUGGUGGAACUGGCACCAAGUAAUUAUUAUUAAUAUUAUUAUUUUAUUAUUUAUAUAGCGCCACCAGAUUCCGUAGCGCUGUACAAUUGCACCGAUGUCAAUCAUCUGUUGGCUUGGCCUGCUGUCGCUUGGUUUUACUUUAUGCAGCUCGGCUUUCUUCUAACCUAGUCGAGCCAAGCUGUCUUGCUGUCCUCAGAACAACACACACCUCCCGAAAUUCAAAAGGACAAAGAGGCACACUUCAAUUUUAUAGCUGGGACUAAGGGGUGGGGGGCUGUUCUGAGACAUUUCAGGUGACUUACG
Molecule: non-coding RNA, 309 nt
Organism: Pelobates cultripes (western spadefoot toad)
Lineage: Eukaryota; Metazoa; Chordata; Amphibia; Anura; Pelobatidae
Source: the annotation of a GenBank genome assembly